Molecule: ribosomal RNA, 372 nt
Filed under: uncultured organism
Description: bacterial SSU rRNA
Rfam family: Bacterial small subunit ribosomal RNA
Source: RNAcentral
CAGGGGGUGCAAACGUUGCUCGGAAUUAUUGGGCGUAAAGCGCGCGUAGGUGGUGACUCAAGUCGGAUGUGAAAGCCCUUGGCUUAACCGAGGAAGUGCAUCCGAAACUGAGUCGCUAGAGUACGAAAGAGGGUCGCGGAAUUCCCGGUGUAGAGGUGAAAUUCGUAGAUAUCGGGAGGAACACCGGUGGCGAAGGCGGCGACCUGGGUCGAUACUGACACUGAGGCGCGAAAGCGUGGGGAGCAAACAGGAUUAGAUACCCUGGUAGUCCACGCCGUAAACGAUGGGUGCUAGAUGCUCCUGGUAUUGACCCCGGGGGCGUCGUAGCUAACGCGUUAAGCACCCCGCCUGGGGAGUACGGCCGCAAGGCUA